GUGGGGAAUAUUGGACAAUGGGCGCAAGCCUGAUCCAGCCAUGCCGCGUGAGUGAUGAAGGCCUUAGGGUUGUAAAGCUCUUUCACCGAUGAAGAUAAUGACGGUAGUCGGAGAAGAAGCCCCGGCUAACUUCGUGCCAGCAGCCGCGGUAAUACGAAGGGGGCUAGCGUUGUUCGGAUUUACUGGGCGUAAAGCGCACGUAGGCGGUUUGUUAAGUCAGGGGUGAAAUCCCGGAGCUCAACUCCGGAACUGCCUUUGAUACUGGCAAGCUAGAGUCCGGAAGAGGUAAGUGGAACUCCUAGUGUAGAGGUGGAAUUCGUAGAUAUUAGGAAGAACACCAGUGGCGAAGGCGGCUUACUGGUCCGGAACUGACGCUGAGGUGCGAAAGCGUGGGGAGCAAACAGGAUUAGAUACCCAGGUAGUCC
Molecule: ribosomal RNA, 425 nt
Filed under: uncultured bacterium
Lineage: Bacteria
Description: partial 16S ribosomal RNA
Rfam family: Bacterial small subunit ribosomal RNA
Source: RNAcentral